Molecule: long non-coding RNA, 651 nt
Organism: Hemicordylus capensis (graceful crag lizard)
Lineage: Eukaryota; Metazoa; Chordata; Lepidosauria; Squamata; Cordylidae
Exons: 2
Source: RefSeq, a predicted model, not a curated record
AUACAGAACAACACACACACACAAAAAGGGGUCCUGGCCGGCGGAGGGAUACGGUGACAUCAUUUCCUCCGCUCUCUAAACCCGCUUCCUGAUUGGCUGCCUGGCGUGACGUCAGUGGCAGACUGGCACACCCUAACCCAACCUGGUGAAGUUUGUCUGAGGCAUAAAUUAUUGGGAAGAUGUUUUGUUCUUCCCAGUUUUGGGGGUCUUUUAAACCUAACAACCUGAAUUUUUUGAGGUAUUUUCCAUAAACAUAGGGCCAGAAAUGGAACAACAGGUGGAAAAAAGCAGUCAAAGGCUUCCCCUUCUUUGUCAGCCAAGCACUGCCAUGUGUACAAAUUCAGAAGAUUUGGUUAGACUCUGCUAUUUGCAACUUUGCAGGGAUAGAAACAUAGAAGGCCAACCAUCUCCAACCAGGCAAUGGUUUUGCGGAAUGUUCAAAAGAAGCUAAUCUUCGGGAAACUACCAUUAAAAUGUUCAACAUUUGAGUUCUAAAGAUUCUUAUGGAAAAUCUUGAAUUUAAAAGCCUUUUGAAAUUCUACUACGAUAAAGCAUCUAUGGUUUUUAAUAUGAUAUGAAUGUUACUUUUUUCAAAAAUGCCUGAUCUGUGGAAUGUAUUAACUAAUAUAUUUAAUAAAUACAUUAAUACAU